UCGCUCCUACCGAUUGAAUGAU
RNAcentral lists this non-coding RNA (22 nucleotides) under Arabidopsis thaliana (thale cress). Lineage: Eukaryota; Viridiplantae; Streptophyta; Magnoliopsida; Brassicales; Brassicaceae. The record is from RNAcentral.